GAUGAACGCUGACAGAAUGCUUAACACAUGCAAGUCAACUUGAAUUUGGGUUUUUAACUUAGGUUUGGGUGGCGGACGGGUGAGUAACGCGUAAAGAACUUGCCUCACAGCUAGGGACAACAUUUGGAAACGAAUGCUAAUACCUAAUAUUAUGAUAAUAGGGCAUCCUAUAAUUAUGAAAGCUAUAAGCGCUGUGAGAGAGCUUUGCGUCCCAUUAGCUAGUUGGAGAGGUAACGGCUCACCAAGGCGAUGAUGGGUAGCCGGUCUGAGAGGGUGAUCGGCCACAAGGGGACUGAGACACGGCCCUUACUCCUACGGGAGGCAACAGUGGGGAAUAUUGGACAAUGGACCGAGAGUCUGAUCCAGCAAUUCUGUGUGCACGAUGAAGUUUUUCGGAAUGUAAAGUGCUUUCAGUUGGGAAGAAACAAAUGACGGUACCAACAGAAGAAGUGACGGCUAAAUACGUG
RNAcentral lists this ribosomal RNA (467 nucleotides) under uncultured bacterium. RNAcentral describes it as "partial 16S ribosomal RNA". It matches the Rfam family "Bacterial small subunit ribosomal RNA", at positions 28 to 507 of the family's 1533-position model. The record is from RNAcentral.